ACGGGAAUGGCGGAACUGGCAGACGCACUUGACUUAGACUCAAGAUAUUGAGGGUUCGACUCCCUUUUCCUGUA
RNAcentral lists this transfer RNA (74 nucleotides) under Chryseobacterium proteolyticum. RNAcentral's name for it is "tRNA-Leu". It matches the Rfam family "tRNA". From Rfam's summary of the family: Transfer RNA (tRNA) molecules are approximately 80 nucleotides in length. Their secondary structure includes four short double-helical elements and three loops (D, anti-codon, and T loops). The record is from RNAcentral. RNAcentral also lists the same sequence under 5 other names. Lineage: Bacteria; Pseudomonadati; Bacteroidota; Flavobacteriia; Flavobacteriales; Weeksellaceae.